Molecule: long non-coding RNA, 1469 nt
Filed under: Homo sapiens (human)
Lineage: Eukaryota; Metazoa; Chordata; Mammalia; Primates; Hominidae
Description: long intergenic non-protein coding RNA 1471
Source: RNAcentral
GCCUCAGGCGAGAUAAUGCAGAGGUGGGGGACAGAGUGGGUGGGGAGGGGAGCCGCCAUACAGUGGCCAGGACCAGCUUUGCCCAAGUGGUGGCAACCGCAUGACCACAGGAACGAUGGCGUGAGCCCCGUGGCAACCUGGAGGAAGGGCCAAGCCACUGGUGAAUAUGCUGCAAAAAAUAUGCUGGAACUUCUAUGAAUACCACAGGGUGUGAGAAGAAAACAUUAGAACUUCUAUUUUGUACCUGUGUUACUCCACAACAAGAAAGCAAUCAGCUUGAUCAAUGCCUACUGUAAAGACGGCACCGCCCUCCGGAGGUCCUUUCUCAGCCCUGGUGUUCGGACAGCCACAUCCCCUCGCAGCAGGGGGAGGCCUGAAGCAUAGAGGGGCCCAUGCAGGUCUAUUCUGUUUCAGCGAAUUGCCUGGGAAAUAAUCCAGGAUCCAUUUCGUGUGGUCAUCUUGUCUCCCUGGUCCCCUCCAGCCUUUCCUCAUCUUUUGUGACCUGGUCACUCUGGAAGGGCGCUGGCCAGUUAGUCCACAGGAUGGGCCUCCCCUGGGGCUUUUCUGAUGCUUCCUUAUGAUGGCACUGGCAUCCUGAGGGGGAGGACCACAGAGAGGAGGUGCUCCUCAUCACACCACAUGGGGGUCCAUGCACCAGUGCCACUGCUUUCCAGGGCUCUUCACCUUCAUCACUGGUGGAGGUGGCGUCUGCCAAGAAGCAGAAAGUUGAGGCUUAGAAGGUGCACGGCCCUACCUCUUCCGAGGUGCCCCUGCGGGCUGUCUACAGACCAGGCAGCACAUGCCUGAUAGCAGCUGCAUAAGGAAAAGCAGGAGCCAGCUCGUGCACAGUGGCCUCAAGUGUGCACUGGGCAUGUUCUCUGCCUCACCAUCCCUGUGUGACAGAUGAAGCAUGGCAAGCCAGGCUCCAGAGAAGCAUCCUGAGGACCAGUGUUCCUAGGGACCUCAUUCUUCUGACCUCAUUCCUACAACGUUUUGUCACUGCAAAGGAAAUCACCAAGGCCAGCAUGACAGCCCUCAACAGAAGCCAAGGCCAAGUCCUCGAACUUCCUAGUCUGCACAAUGACAAGUGAGCUCAUGGAAACCUCUCCAUCGUUGACCAGGAUCUAUAGGAAAACCCUCCUCUUCUUCUAUAUGCAAAGGCUGCACAGCUCCUGGUUCACCUGCACCUCUCCAGACCACCAUGGUGCCUGCAGCUCUGAGGGCAUUUUAAAUCAUCACAGAACAACAAGCAUAUAAGCAUCAUGAGCGCCUCUGGACCUCUGACGUGCCUUGUGGAGGCCUGCCAGGCCCACGUUUUAAUUUACAUGAACUCGAUGCCCUUUUUGACAGGGAGAGAUCUGUUUCUUUAUUUGUUAGCCUUUCCCCUGGACCUGCUAGAUCUGGACCAUCCCCAGGAAAGGAAGGUCACACCACAAAGAUAAAUAUAAACAAAAUGAGUUAAUUAAGAA